This 517-nucleotide ribosomal RNA is filed under the name Famelica acus. RNAcentral describes it as "partial large subunit ribosomal RNA". It matches the Rfam family "Bacterial large subunit ribosomal RNA", at positions 1809 to 2605 of the family's 2925-position model. Lineage: Eukaryota; Metazoa; Mollusca; Gastropoda; Neogastropoda; Raphitomidae. The record is from RNAcentral.
CAAAACAUGGCUUCCCGUAUAAAUUUAAAUGCGAAGUCUUACCUGCCCAGUGAAAAUUUUAACGGCCGCGGUACUCUGACCGUGCAAAGGUAGCAUAAUAAUUUGCCUUAUAACUGAAGGCUAGAAUGAAUGGUUUGUCAAGGGUAAACCUGUCUCUAAAAAAUUUUAUAGAACUUUAUUUUUAGGUGAAAAAGCCUAAAUUAAAUUAAAAGACAAGAAGACCCUAUCGAGCUUGAAAGAAAUUAGUAAAAUUUCAAGUAUUUUAUUAAAAACUAAGUUAUUAAAUAUUUUGGUUGGGGCAACCGAGGAGUAAAUAAAGCCUCCUUUUAUAAAACAUAAUAUAAUGAUCCAGAAAAUCUGAUUAUAAGAAAUAGUUACCGUAGGGAUAACAGCAUUAUUUUUUUUGAGAGCUCAUAUCGAAAAAAAAGUUUGUGACCUCGAUGUUGGACCAAAAUAUCCUAAAGACGCAGAAGUCUUUAAGGGUUGGUCUGUUCGACCAUUAAAAUUUUACGUGAUC